RNAcentral lists this ribosomal RNA (492 nucleotides) under uncultured bacterium. RNAcentral describes it as "partial 16S ribosomal RNA". It matches the Rfam family "Bacterial small subunit ribosomal RNA", at positions 29 to 507 of the family's 1533-position model. The record is from RNAcentral.
AGUGAACGCUGGCGGUAGGCCUAACACAUGUAAGUCGAACGGCAGCACAGUAAGAGCUUGCUCUUACGGGUGGCGAGUGGCGGACGGGUGAGGAAUACAUCGGAAUCUACUUUUUCGUGGGGGAUAACGUAGGGAAACUUACGCCAAUACCGCAUACGACCUACGGGUGAAAGCAGGGGAUCUUCGGACCUUGCGCGAUUCAAUGAGCCGAUGUCGGAUUAGCUAGUUGGCGGGGUAAAGGCCCACCAAGGCGACGAUCCGUAGCUGGUCUGAGAGGAUGAUCAGCCACACUGGAACUGAGACACGGUCCAGACUCCUACGGGUGGCAGCAGUGGGGAAUAUUGGACAAGGGGCGCAAGCCUGAUCCAGCCAUACCGCGUGGGUGAAGAAGGCCUUCGGGUUGUAAAGCCCUUUUGUGGGGAAAGAAAAGCAGCGGGUUAAUGCCCUGCUGUUCUGACGGUACCCAAAGAAUAAGCGCCGGCUAACUUCGUG